UUGUUUGCCUCAUCAGCACAUGUACGAAAACUGGAAUAAUAGUAAGAUUAGCAUGAUCCCUGCACAAGGAUGACACACAAAUUCAUGAAGCAUUCUAUGCCUGG
This 104-nucleotide small nuclear RNA is filed under the name Castor canadensis (American beaver). The record is from RNAcentral. Lineage: Eukaryota; Metazoa; Chordata; Mammalia; Rodentia; Castoridae.